GUAUAUUAAAGUUGUUGCAGUUAAAACGUUCGUAGUUGAAUUUGUGUUCCACACGGGCAGUACACCUAAAUCUUGGGUUUGUACAUUGCCUUAAAAUUAAAAAUGUGUGUGAACGUAUUACCGGCUGAAUUUAUAUUUUUAAUAUGAAUUCACAUAUUAUAUGUCCUACUUCAGUGCUCUUAAUCGAGUGCUGUUGUGGGCCGGUACAAUUACUUUGAACAAAUUAGAGUGCUUAAAGCAGGCUUUUAAUGCCUGAAUAUUUGUGCAUGGAAUAAUGGAAGAGGACAUCUGUUCUAUUUUCUAUUGGUUUUUAGAUCAAGAUGUAAUGAUUAAUAGAAGCAGUUGGGGGCAUUAGUAUUACGACGCGAAAGGUGAAAUUCUUGGACCGUCGUAAGACUGACUAAAGCGAAAGCAUUUGCCAAAUAUGUUUUCAUUAAUCAAGAACGAAAGUUAGAGGUUCGAAGGCGAUCAGAUACCGCCCUAGUUCUAACCAUAAACGAUGUCAGCUAGCAAUUGAAUGUAGCUACUACUAUGGCUCUUUCAGACGCUUCUCGGGAAACCAAAGCUUUUGGGCUCCGGGGGAAGUAUGGUUGCAAAGCUGAAACUUAAAGGAAUUGACGGAAGGGCACCACCAGGAGUGGAGCCUGCGGCUUAAUUUGACUCAACACGGGAAAACUUACCAGGUCCGAACAUAAAUAAGUAAGACAGAUUGAUAGCUCUUUCUCGAAUCUAUGGGUGGUGGUGCAUGGCCGUUCUUAGUUCGUGGAGUGAUUUGUCUGGUUAAUUCCGAUAACGAACGAGACUCAAAUAUAUUAAAUAGAUGCAUUCAGGAUUAUGGUGUUGAAGCUUAUAUGCUCGCCUGUUUUCGUUCCUCACGGUGCGUUUGCAGUUGUGUAUGUAUGUAAGUGGAGCCAUACCUGUUUGUUUGUCUAAUUAAAAAUAGACACUAGCUUCUUAAAUGGACAAAUUG
RNAcentral lists this ribosomal RNA (970 nucleotides) under uncultured eukaryote. RNAcentral's name for it is "SSU rRNA". It matches the Rfam family "Eukaryotic small subunit ribosomal RNA", at positions 599 to 1426 of the family's 1831-position model. The record is from RNAcentral.